Molecule: long non-coding RNA, 2275 nt
Organism: Rosa chinensis
Lineage: Eukaryota; Viridiplantae; Streptophyta; Magnoliopsida; Rosales; Rosaceae
Exons: 2
Source: RefSeq, a predicted model, not a curated record
CGCGUGUGCUUUUAAAAUAUUUGUUUUACAAGUCCCACAUCGAGAAACAGUGAAGGGAUGAGCCUGUUCAUAUAGGCUGAUCUCGCAACAGAGCGUGUCCCUUCGGGGACAUCCGAUAAAAUUGGAACGAUACAGAGAAGAUUAGCAUGGCCCCUGCGCAAGGAUGACACGCAUAAAUCGAGAAAUGGUCCAAAUUUUUUUGGGAAUUUUUUGCAUGUUUUUGAUUCCAGGUAGUCUAGCUUUGCUUUCUGGGUCUUUGUUUUUCUUCCUUUCUGUUUGAGUUCUGGGAUUUGUUGAACAAUCAUUGACUCAAAUCAUCCGGUAUUUAUGAACGCACAUGAAAAAUUGAGACAUUGUCCACCACCUGUUUGAUGAAAUGCCUCCGAGACAUUCCUUCAUUGAUUCCAAGUUCACCAGCUGUUUGAUGGAGUAUUCCUUACAUCUAGUUUAGUUCUUGGGCUUGAAGAACAAAACUCAGAUAACGCAUCUUUGUUUCUGCCUUAACUACAUCGACUUUGUUAUUAGUUUAUGAUGGUUGAUAUUUUUUGACAUUCUGGAAUUUGUUUCUGCCCUUUUCUAGUGCUUAUUACAAUUUGCCAAGUUUUAGCUUAUGAUUGUAAGUCUGUUUUUUUGCUUUUGUCUAGUGGGGUAGCACGAAUGCUUCAAAGCAUGUUGACCCUGAACUCUUGUUUUCUUUGCUCAUCCUUUUUAGUAUUCAUGUUCAUUAAAAUGUAAGGAGAAGUAGCUGAAGUUCACUUAGUCGACUGUUCAAUCUUUUUCGAUUUCUGGACACCAAUAUGAAGCUAUUCAUUCAAAAAACCGUAGAUUAGGAACAUUGUUGAAUCCUGAUUUUGAUGUGCUCCAUGUUUUUCUCUGUCAUUUGAAAAUUUUCUACAAAGAAACUUCAAUUAUCAGUUUCAUCAAAGCUGCAAGUUAAGAACAAUAGGAGAUUUCAUUAUACCUUUUAAAAAAUUUCCACAGUAUCUUUGUCCCCUGCUUCCUUCCAGGCAGUCAUCUUGUUGCAUUUAUCUUCUUUGUAUUCAUCAUUCUAAAUCAAGCUCACUCAUACCUGUAAGCAGUCCUAUAUACUUGAUUUUGAAGAAGGUAAGCCAUGUAAUAUAAAUCAUAAGUGUAAGCAAUCAGGAUAACAGCUUGAAAUCUCUUUCUGCAGGUAUAUUUUAGCGAGAAAGGAUACUAACAGAUUAAUUUUGGAUGACUGGAUGUCAAAAUGGCGUGAAGAAUUUUGUGUCUUUCAGCUCCAUAGCAGCUUCAGAGUAAAAGGCUUCCCUUCAGGCAAGAGGUGAAUCGAUUCAGUUGACGACCAAUCAUAGCCUCUUCUUCAUCUUGACUCAGCAGCAUGUGUUCCAAAAUUCUGAUGCCUUUUGAAUAUGAAAUUGGAUCAAAUAUUCAUUACAUCAUUCAGUCACACACUAAAGCUGGAAGUGAGAUCAAGGAAGGUGUCCUCACUGCAAGGAAUUGUGAUGCCGCCCAUGGGAUGAUCGUAUCCAAAUUCUUCUUCAGCUUGACUCAGCAAAUCCAUAAAUGAAGGUUGGUUCAAGUAUGAUAUUGGAAUCACAAAUCGCUUCUUCUGGCUCUCUCCAACAUAGACUGCAAAAUAGCCUUUCGGGAUUUCUAAGGUCUUUGAAGCUGUCUGGUUUCCAUUAGAAAGUGAUCGAAUUAGGCUUCUCUUGGUGUUUGAAAUUCUAGGGAGCCGGAAACCCAUAGUUUCUAUAUUCUUGAGAGGAAGAACAAUGAAAAAUCUUGUAAGGAUGAGGAAACAAGAGUAAGCUUUGAUGUUUAUGAAGGAGAAGACUUGGUUCCUGAUCGAUUAAUUUGUGUGUGUAUAUAUAGAUGAUGAAAGGGUGUGUGGAAGAUCAUCUGCUACACAAAAUGAGUGGUUAAGUUGGCACACUGAUGAGAGACACCAACUUGUUUCAAAUCAAGAAAUCACAUGGGAUUGUCUUGUCCUUCACAUAACUCAUCCCCCAGCAGAUACAUAUGCAACUGUCGUUCUGCUACUUCCUUCAGACUUGUAGUUCUACUCUAAGCUGGUGUGUAGGGUUUCUUUGCAGACAAGAAUUGGUGGAUGACCAAGCCAACCUAACAUGUGGUUUUGCAGCUUCAUGUAUGAUAUCUCUGAUCUCCACUUCCAACAAGCUGAGGAAUUAUUUCAUUUUGUUUAGUCAAGCAACAAAAGUCAGUUGAUGGUCAACCAUGACGAGAAAACAUCCCAAGUAUUGAUUUACAAUGAGUUUCAAGCUAUUUACUCAACUCU